Molecule: long non-coding RNA, 205 nt
Filed under: Mytilus galloprovincialis (Mediterranean mussel)
Lineage: Eukaryota; Metazoa; Mollusca; Bivalvia; Mytilida; Mytilidae
Source: RNAcentral
AAGAAUAUUUAUUAUACAUGUACUGUUAUAUAAAGAUUAUAUAUAUAUGAUUAAACAUGUGAACAUUAAAUGGACUUCGUUAUAUAGACAGUACUAAAUGAGCUUACGGAGAAACUUUACAAUAACUAGUUCCCUAUGUAACGGGCAACAUGGAUUACGAUCCCGGACACGUAGAUCCGAAAUAAUGACAUAGUUCUAAAACCAC